UCAAGCGAACAAGUGCAUGUGGUGGAUGCCUUGGCGAUCACAGGCGAUGAAGGACGCGGUAGCCUGCGAAAAGCGGGGGGGAGCUGGCAAACGAGCUUUGAUCCCCCGAUAUCCGAAUGGGGAAACCCACUCCUUAUGGAGUAUCCGUAACUGAAUACAUAGGUUACGUGAAGCGAACGCGGUGAACUGAAACAUCUAAGUAACCGCAGGAAAAGAAAUCAACCGAGAUUCCCAGAGUAGUGGCGAGCGAAAUGGGACCAGCCUGUACUCUUUAUCUUCAUUGUUAGUCGAAGGCUCUGGAAAGUGCCGCCAUAGCAGGUGAUAGCCCUGUAGACGAAAACAGCGAGGAAGAACUGGGUGUACGACAAGUAGGGCGGGACACGUGAAAUCCUGUCUGAAGAUGGGGGGACCAUCCUCCAAGGCUAAAUACUCGUGAUCGACCGAUAGUGAACCAGUACCGUGAGGGAAAGGCGAAAAGAACCCCGGGAGGGGAGUGAAAUAGAUCCUGAAACCGCAUGCAUACAAACAGUCGGAGCCUCUGCGAAGGGGUGACGGCGUACCUUUUGUAUAAUGGGUCAGCGACUUACAUUCAGUGGCAAGCUUAACCGAUUAGGGCAGGCGUAGCGAAAGCGAGUCCGAACAGGGCGUUCAGUCGCUGGGUGUAGACCCGAAACCAGGUGAUCUAUCCAUGGCCAGGAUGAAGGUGCGGUAACACGUACUGGAGGUCCGAACCCACUAACGUUGAAAAGUUAGGGGAUGAGCUGUGGAUAGGGGUGAAAGGCUAAACAAACCUGGAAAUAGCUGGUUCUCUCCGAAAACUAUUUAGGUAGUGCCUCGUGUAUCACCUUCGGGGGUAGAGCACUGUCAUGGUUGUGGGGUCCAUUGCGGAUUACUACGCCAUAGCAAACUCCGAAUACCGAAGAGUGCAAUCACGGGAGACAGACAUCGGGUGCUAACGUCCGGUGUCAAGAGGGAAACAACCCAGACCGCCAGCUAAGGUCCCCAAAUAUUGCUAAGUGGGAAACGAAGUGGGAAGGCUAAAACAGUCAGGAGGUUGGCUUAGAAGCAGCCAUCCUUUAAAGAAAGCGUAAUAGCUCACUGAUCGAGUCGUCCUGCGCGGAAGAUGUAACGGGGCUAAGCAAUAUACCGAAGCUGCGGAUGCAUAUUUAUAUGCAUGGUAGGAGAGCGUUCCGUAAGCCUGCGAAGGUGCAUUGAAAAGUGCGCUGGAGGUAUCGGAAGUGCGAAUGCUGACAUGAGUAGCGAUAAAGGGGGUGAAAGGCCCCCUCGCCGUAAGCCCAAGGUUUCCUACGCAACGUUCAUCGGCGUAGGGUGAGUCGGCCCCUAAGGCGAGGCAGAAAUGCGUAGCUGAUGGGAAGCAGGUUAAUAUUCCUGCACCAUUGUUAAAUGCGAUGGGGGGACGGAUCGCGGAAGGUUGUCCGGGUGUUGGAAGUCCCGGUCCUUGCAUUGGAGAAGGCGCUUAGGCAAAUCCGGGCGCGGAAUUCAAGGGUGCGAGGCCAUUCACUUCGGUGAAGAAGCAACUGGAAGUGGUUCCAAGAAAAGCCUCUAAGCUUCAGUUUAACAAGACCGUACCGCAAACCGACACAGGUGGGCGAGAUGAGUAUUCUAAGGCGCUUGAGAGAACUCGGGAGAAGGAACUCGGCAAAUUGGUACCGUAACUUCGGGAUAAGGUACGCCCCUGUAGCUUGACUGGCCUGCGCCAGGAGGGUGAAGGGGUUGCAAUAAACUGGUGGCUGCGACUGUUUAAUAAAAACACAGCACUCUGCAAACACGAAAGUGGACGUAUAGGGUGUGACGCCUGCCCGGUGCCGGAAGAUUAAAUGAUGGGGUGCAAGCUCUUGAUUGAAGUCCCGGUAAACGGCGGCCGUAACUAUAACGGUCCUAAGGUAGCGAAAUUCCUUGUCGGGUAAGUUCCGACCUGCACGAAUGGCGUAACGAUGGCCACACUGUCUCCUCCCGAGACUCAGCGAAGUUGAAGUGUUUGUGAUGAUGCAAUCUCCCCGCGGCUAGACGGAAAGACCCCAUGAACCUUUACUGUAGCUUUGCAUUGGACUUUGAACCGAUCUGUGUAGGAUAGGUGGGAGGCUAUGAAGCGUGGACGCCAGUCUGCGUGGAGCCGUCCUUGAAAUACCACCCUGGUUUGUUUGAGGUUCUAACCUUGGUCCGUUAUCCGGACUGGGGACAGUGCAUGGUAGGCAGUUUGACUGGGGCGGUCUCCUCCCAAAGUGUAACGGAGGAGUACGAAGGUACGCUAGGUACGGUCGGAAAUCGUGCUGAUAGUGCAAUGGCAUAAGCGUGCUUAACUGCGAGACCGACAAGUCGAGCAGGUGCGAAAGCAGGUCAUAGUGAUCCGGUGGUUCUGUAUGGAAGGGCCAUCGCUCAACGGAUAAAAGGUACUCUGGGGAUAACAGGCUGAUACCGCCCAAGAGUUCAUAUCGACGGCGGUGUUUGGCACCUCGAUGUCGGCUCAUCUCAUCCUGGGGCUGUAGCCGGUCCCAAGGGUAUGGCUGUUCGCCAUUUAAAGAGGUACGUGAGCUGGGUUUAAAACGUCGUGAGACAGUUUGGUCCCUAUCUGCCGUGGGCGCUGGAUAUUUGAAGGGGGCUGCUCCUAGUACGAGAGGACCGGAGUGGACGAACCUCUGGUGUACCGGUUGUCACGCCAGUGGCAUCGCCGGGUAGCUAUGUUCGGAAGAGAUAACCGCUGAAAGCAUCUAAGCGGGAAACUCGCCUUAAGAUGAGAUAUCCCCGGGGCUUCGAGCCCCUUGAAGGGUCGUUCAAGACCAGGACGUUGAUAGGUCAGGUGUGGAAGCGCAGUAAUGCGUUAAGCUAACUGAUACUAAUUGCCCGUAAGGCUUGAUCC
RNAcentral lists this ribosomal RNA (2878 nucleotides) under Paraburkholderia aspalathi. RNAcentral describes it as "23S ribosomal RNA". It matches the Rfam family "Bacterial large subunit ribosomal RNA". Lineage: Bacteria; Pseudomonadati; Pseudomonadota; Betaproteobacteria; Burkholderiales; Burkholderiaceae. The record is from RNAcentral.